RNAcentral lists this ribosomal RNA (432 nucleotides) under uncultured bacterium. RNAcentral describes it as "partial 16S ribosomal RNA". It matches the Rfam family "Bacterial small subunit ribosomal RNA", at positions 29 to 507 of the family's 1533-position model. The record is from RNAcentral.
ACGAACGCUGGCGGCAUGCCUAACACAUGCACGUCGAACGAGACCUUCGGGUCUAGUGGCGCACGGGUGCGUAACACGUGGGAAUCUGCCCUUUGCUUCGGAAUAACAGUUAGAAAUGACUGCUAAUACCGGAUGAUGUCGAAAGACCAAAGAUUUAUCGGCAAAGGAUGAGCCCGCGUAGUAUUAGGUAGUUGGUGGGGUAAAGGCCUACCAAGCCGACGAUCCUUAGCUGGUCUGAGAGGAUGAUCAGCCACACUGGGACUGAGACACGGCCCAGACUCCUACGGGAGGCAGCAGUGGGGAAUAUUGGACAAUGGGCGAAAGCCUGAUCCAGCAAUGCCGCGUGAGUGAUGAAGGCCUUAGGGUUGUAAAGCUCUUUUACCAGGGAUGAUAAUGACAGUACCUGGAGAAUAAGCUCCGGCUAACUCCGUG